This 495-nucleotide ribosomal RNA is filed under the name uncultured bacterium. RNAcentral describes it as "partial 16S ribosomal RNA". It matches the Rfam family "Bacterial small subunit ribosomal RNA", at positions 28 to 507 of the family's 1533-position model. The record is from RNAcentral.
GACGAACGCUGGCGGCGUGCCUAAUACAUGCAAGUCGAACGCUGAAGGAGGAGCUUGCUUCUCUGGAUGAGUUGCGAACGGGUGAGUAACGCGUAGGUAACCUGCCUGGUAGCGGGGGAUAACUAUUGGAAACGAUAGCUAAUACCGCAUAAUAGUAGAUGUUGCAUGACAUUUACUUAAAAGGUGCAAUUGCAUCACUACCAGAUGGACCUGCGUUGUAUUAGCUAGUUGGUGGGGUAACGGCUCACCAAGGCGACGAUACAUAGCCGACCUGAGAGGGGGAUCGGCCAAACUGGGACUGAGACACGGCCCAGACUCCUAAGGGAGGCAGCCGUAGGGAAUCUUUGGCAAUAGACGAAAGUCUGACCGAGCAACGCCGCGUGAGGGAAGAAGGGUUUCGGAUCGUAAAGCUCGGUUGUAAGAGAAGAAAGAGUGUGAGAGUGGAAAGUUCACACUGUGACGGUAGCUUACCAGAAAGGGACGGCUAACUACGUG